This 658-nucleotide long non-coding RNA is filed under the name Physcomitrium patens. RNAcentral's name for it is "long non-coding RNA (PPAT_LNC008732)". Lineage: Eukaryota; Viridiplantae; Streptophyta; Bryopsida; Funariales; Funariaceae. The record is from RNAcentral.
GUUCUUCUUUUUCCUCGCCGAGGUUCGCUCUCAAUCACCGCUCCAGAGCACUCCAGUUGGAAUCCACAAAACUCAGACCCAACCAGGCAACACCGACACCAAAUGAAAAACUGCACCAUUCGUCGUCACUCAGGGCAACCCAUAUGUAUUUCCAAUUUGAACAUGUAGAAAAUCAAUGCAUUGUCGAAACACGUGAAAAAUAUAUAUGUCGAGCUAACAUCCACACUUUUCGUGUUCAGAGGUUUAUAUAUGUAUCUGAAUAUACUUCAAACUUCAUCCACGGAAAAUGUCAUCACAACUAAAGAAUGUUAGUACAUUAUUAACUAUCCUUAAUACUCAUCUGUUCUCCAUGCAUUCAUUGGAGGAUGAUCUUGAUAAUUGCCUUCUCUCUCUAGCCUGACUUGGCUUCUAGAAUGGAAGUGGAACCCUAACCCAAGCAAGUGCCACCAACCUCUAGCUCAAUUGAGAACACUACCAUGAUAACACCUUGGACCCUUAUGGCAGUCAAAUUCCAUCCUCAUCAAGUGUGGGUUCGUCGGAAGUUAAAAAAGAUAAAGUAAAAUAGUCAGAGGAUGAGACAGUGUGUGGUAUCGUCUGGGCAUAGAUAGGGGUGGUCAAUGCAGCUGGGCUGAGGUGACUGCUAUUGAUCCCCACUCAA